RNAcentral lists this long non-coding RNA (909 nucleotides) under Struthio camelus australis. RNAcentral describes it as "lncRNA (ENSSCUG00000009481.1)". The record is from RNAcentral. Lineage: Eukaryota; Metazoa; Chordata; Aves; Struthioniformes; Struthionidae.
CACCCCCCAGGCCUCCGCUAACGUUUCCCCUUGGCGUUUCUCUCCGCUGCUCCAGCUCCGGCGCCGUUCGCACCGUUCCCGUGCCGAAUCGCGGGGCCUCCGCCAGCUCCGGCGUCUUUGCCACCCGCUCCGAUUUGUCUCGCCCAAAAGCGGAACGAGCUGCCAGGUCUCUGCGCGUUUCAGAGCCCGUGCCGGGAGCCAGCCGCUGCCCAGGGCGGGGGGGGGGUGGCGGCAGAGCUGGAGGUUUUGGCAGCAGAUUUUUCCGGCAGUCCCCGGCCGCCAACCCUCCCGAGUGCCGGCGCGGUGUUUUUUUGCGAGUGACACAGCACAAUCGGCGAGGAAUGGAGAAAGCUGUCCCUACUUUAUCAGAGCAACAGCGAGAGCGCCAGGGAGAUGGAGGCAGAGCCACGCUAACGGCGCUGGAGCCAAACAAAGAGCAUUUUGCUGCCCUUGAGUGCCCCCAAGGUGAAGAGCGAAGAGCUGCUUUUGUUAAAGAUGCAAAAGCGCCUCUGGAGAGCCCGGCUCUAUCUGGGACAUCGGUGGAAGGAGGGACAGAGCUCAAGGAGGCCUCCUUCUUCGCCACGGAGAACCUGCCGUCGAUGAGCCGAGACGGCAAAGGGACUUCUGGCACCGAUAUGUGUGCCCUCAAAGAGGAUCCCAACUUCUUCUCGCCGCUCACCCGCCAGGAACCUGAUGUCGCUCUGGAAGCUCGGGACGUGGCAGAUGAGCCUGAUCCUGCCCUCUCCGGUGCUGUCCCAGCCACAGCUCACAGGACUGAACUCUGGUAAGUUCCCAGGAUCUGUUGCAGAGCGGGAAGCAUCCGGGAGCCGGUCUCCCCUUGUUGACAGUGCUCUAGUUGCUAAAAUCCCCAAAUAUCUGCCUGCCUACCCCCCAAAGAGGGUUAUCCUG